This 468-nucleotide ribosomal RNA is filed under the name uncultured bacterium. RNAcentral's name for it is "partial 16S ribosomal RNA". It matches the Rfam family "Bacterial small subunit ribosomal RNA", at positions 28 to 507 of the family's 1533-position model. The record is from RNAcentral.
GACGAACGCUGGCGGCGUGCUUAACACAUGCAAGUCGAACGGAAAGGCCCUGCUUUUGUGGGGUGCUCGAGUGGCGAACGGGUGAGUAACACGUGAGUAACCUGCCCUUGACUUUGGGAUAACUUCAGGAAACUGGGGCUAAUACCGGAUAGGAGCUCCUGCUGCAUGGUGGGGGUUGGAAAGUUUCGGCGGUUGGGGAUGGACUCGCGGCUUAUCAGCUUGUUGGUGGGGUAGUGGCUUACCAAGGCUUUGACGGGUAGCCGGCCUGAGAGGGUGACCGGACCCAUUGGGACUGAGAUACGGCCCAGACUCCUACGGGAGGCAGCAGUGGGGAAUAUUGCACAAUGGGCGGAAGCCUGAUGCAGCAACGCCGCGUGCUGGAUGACGGCCUUCGGGUUGUAAACCGCUUUCGCCUGUGACGAAGCGUGAGUGACGGUAAUGGGUAAAGAAGCACCGGCUAACUACGUG